This 460-nucleotide ribosomal RNA is filed under the name uncultured bacterium. RNAcentral describes it as "partial 16S ribosomal RNA". It matches the Rfam family "Bacterial small subunit ribosomal RNA", at positions 338 to 795 of the family's 1533-position model. The record is from RNAcentral.
CCUACGUGAGGCAGCAGUGGGGAAUAUUGGGCAAUGGGCGCAAGCCUGAACCAGCCAAGUCGCGUGAGGGAUUAAGGCCCUGCGGGUCGUAAACCUCUUUUGCCGGGGAGCAGUGGUCCGGACGUGUCCGGGCCGGGAGAGUACCCGGAGAAAAAGCAUCGGCUAACUCAGUGCCAGCAGCCGCGGUAAUACGGAGGAUGCGAGCGUUAUCCGGAUUUAUUGGGUUUAAAGGGUGCGUAGGCGGGCAUUUAAGCCGGCGGUCAAAUGUCGGGGCUCAACCCCGGCCUGCCGUCGGAACUGGGUGCCUUGAGUGGGCGAGAGGUAGGCGGAAUGCGUGGUGUAGCGAUGAAAUGCAUAGAUAUCACGCAGAACCCCGAUUGCGAAGGCAGCAUACCGGCGCCCUACUGACGCUGAGGCACGAAAGUGCGGGUAUCGAACAGGAUUAGAUACCCGUGUAGUC